GACGAACGCUGGCGGCGUGCUUAACACAUGCAAGUCGAACGGAAAGGCCUCUUUCGGGGGGUACUCGAGUGGCGAACGGGUGAGUAACACGUGAGUAACCUGCCCUUGACUUUGGGAUAACUUCAGGAAACUGGGGCUAAUACCGGAUAGGAGCUCCUGCUGCAUGGUGGGGGUUGGAAAGUUUCGGCGGUUGGGGAUGGACUCGCGGCUUAUCAGCUUGUUGGUGGGGUAGUGGCUUACCAAGGCUUUGACGGGUAGCCGGCCUGAGAGGGUGACCGGCCACAUUGGGACUGAGAUACGGCCCAGACUCCUACGGGAGGCAGCAGUGGGGAAUAUUGCACAAUGGGUGGAAGCCUGAUGCAGCAACGCCGUGUGCGGGUUGACGGCCUUCGGGUUGUAAACCGCUUUCGCUCAUGACGAAGCUUUGUGUGACGGUAGUGGGUAAAGAAGCACCGGCUAACUACGUG
RNAcentral lists this ribosomal RNA (467 nucleotides) under uncultured bacterium. RNAcentral describes it as "partial 16S ribosomal RNA". It matches the Rfam family "Bacterial small subunit ribosomal RNA", at positions 28 to 507 of the family's 1533-position model. The record is from RNAcentral.